UUCCGGUUGAUCCUGCCAGAGGUCACUGCUAUUGGGAUUCGACUAAGCCAUGCGAGUUGUGAGGGUUCGGCCCUCAGCUGACGGCUCAGUAACACGUAGAUAAUUUGCCCUUAGGUGGAGGAUACCCUCGGGAAACUGAGAAUAAUACUCCAUAGAUCUAGUCUGCUGGAAUGCUUUUAGAUCGAAAGAUUUAUCGCCUAAGGAUAAGUCUGCGGACUAUCAGGUUGUAGUCAGGGUAAAGACCUGACUAGCCUACGACGGAUACGGGUAGUGAGAGCUUUAGCCCGGAGAUGAUAUCUGAGACACGAUAUCAGGCCCUACGGGGCGCAGCAGGCGCGAAAACUUUGCACUGUGCGAAAGCACGACAAGGGAAUCCCAAGUGCUGGCUCGUAAGAGUCAGCUGUUUUUCUGUCUAAAACGCAGAGAGAGUAAGGGCUGGGUAAGACGGGUGCCAGCCGCCGCGGUAAUACCUGCAGCCCAAGUGGUGGCCGCUAUUAUUGGGCCUAAAACGUCCGUAGCCGGUUCUAUAAAUGCCUGGGUAAAUCGUACGGCUUAACCGUACGAAUUCCGGGUAGACUGUUCAACUUGGGACCGGGAGAGGCUAGAGGUACUCCUGGAGUAGAGGUGAAAUUCUGUAAUCCUAGGGGGACCACCAGUGGCGAAGGCGUCUAGCUAGAACGGGUCUGACGGUGAGGGACGAAGCCCUGGGGCGCAAACGGGAUUAGAUACCCCGGUAGUCCAGGGUGUAAACGCUGCUUGCUUGAUGUUAGUCGGGCUCCGAGCCCAACUAGUGUCGGAGAGAAGUUGUUAAGCAAGCUGCCUGGGGAGUACGGCCGCAAGACUGAAACUUAAAGGAAUUGGCGGGGGAGCACCGCAACGGGUGGAGCGUGCGGUUUAAUUGAAUCAACCCCGGG
Molecule: ribosomal RNA, 914 nt
Filed under: uncultured Thermoplasmata archaeon
Lineage: Archaea; Methanobacteriati; Thermoplasmatota; Thermoplasmata
Description: bacterial SSU rRNA
Rfam family: Archaeal small subunit ribosomal RNA
Source: RNAcentral